Molecule: ribosomal RNA, 317 nt
Filed under: uncultured bacterium
Lineage: Bacteria
Description: bacterial SSU rRNA
Rfam family: Bacterial small subunit ribosomal RNA
Source: RNAcentral
AGGCUAUCUGUAUGUGCGUAGUAAGUUUUUCGGCAGGGAUGUGCUCGCGGCCUAUCAGCUUGUUGGUGGGGUAAUGGCCUACCAAGGCUUCGACGGUAGCCGGCCUGAGAGGGUGACCGGCCACACUGGGACUGAGACACGGCCCAGACUCCUACGGGAGGCAGCAGUGGGGGAAUAUUGGACAAUGGGCGGAAGCCUGAUCCAGCAACGCCGCGUGAGGGAUGACGGCCUUCGGGUUGUAAACCUCUUUCAGUACCGACGAAGCGCCGAUGAUGGUGGUGACGGUAGGUACAGAAGAAGCACCGGCCAACUACGUG